GUAAACCUGCGGCUCGUCCGCCGCUGCGGAUGGCACGCCUUCAACGAUGCUGCUGCAGCAUGAGGUACUGACGUUGACGCGCAUGGCGUGGUGGCCAUGCUCGUAGGCGUCCAUGAUGUGUGUGCGACAUGGCAACAUCUCCAAUCUGGAGCGGGAUAGCCCCUGGCUCCACCUUAGCAUCUCCAGCAGUGAGAAGAUCGUCGGGAGGAAGGGCAUCAGUAGGCGAUGUAGCAGACACGAAGGAUGCCGCCGGCACGGACCUGGAGGUGGCCGGCGGUGGUGGUGGUCUUCUGAUCCCCUUAAGCAACCUUUCAGGAUCGGCUGUUAGGAGUAACCGGGUGCUAACCCGUACGUGUGUUACCCCCAAGGGGUACGACCUCCUCAUUUUGUAAGUGGUGCGAAGGGGACAGGGACCAAAACCAAAAGUUGGGUCAAUGCCCCCGAUCAGGGCAUGUACUGGGGAUGCAAAUCCUCCCCUUCUUUGUCUCAGUUUGUUAUAACCGUAGAUCAAUUCCAACACAGGGGAGACAAUAGAUCGAUGGA
Molecule: long non-coding RNA, 543 nt
Organism: Triticum aestivum (bread wheat)
Lineage: Eukaryota; Viridiplantae; Streptophyta; Magnoliopsida; Poales; Poaceae
Exons: 2
Source: RefSeq, a predicted model, not a curated record